Molecule: ribosomal RNA, 424 nt
Filed under: uncultured bacterium
Lineage: Bacteria
Description: bacterial SSU rRNA
Rfam family: Bacterial small subunit ribosomal RNA
Source: RNAcentral
GGGGAAUAUUGGGCAAUGGGCGAAAGCCUGACCCAGCGACGCCGCGUGAGGGAAGAAGAUCCUCGGAUUGUAAACCUUAGUCAACAGGGAAGAAGAAAGUGACGGUACCUGUGGAGGAAGCCACGGCUAACUACGUGCCAGCAGCCGCGGUAAUACGUAGGGGGCGAGCGUUGUCCGGAAUGAUUGGGCGUAAAGGGCGCGUAGGCGGCCUGGUAAGCCUGGAGUGAAAGUCCUGCUUUCAAGGUGGGAAUUGCUUUGGAUACUGUCGGGCUGGAGUGCAGGAGAGGUAAGCGGAAUUCCCGGUGUAGCGGUGAAAUGCGUAGAGAUCGGGAGGAACACCAGUGGCGAAGGCGGCUUACUGGACUGUAACUGACGCUGAGGCGCGAAAGCGUGGGGAGCAAACAGGAUUAGAUACCCUGGUAGU